This 253-nucleotide ribosomal RNA is filed under the name uncultured bacterium. RNAcentral's name for it is "partial 16S ribosomal RNA". It matches the Rfam family "Bacterial small subunit ribosomal RNA", at positions 524 to 776 of the family's 1533-position model. The record is from RNAcentral.
UACGUAGGGUGCGAGCGUUAAUCGGAAUUACUGGGCGUAAAGCGUGCGCAGGCGGUUCGCUGUGUCCGAUGUGAAAGCCCCGGGCUUAACCUGGGAAUGGCAUUGGAAACUGGCGGGCUUGAGUGUGGCAGAGGGGGGUGGAAUUCCGCGUGUAGCAGUGAAAUGCGUAGAUAUGCGGAGGAACACCGAUGGCGAAGGCAGCCCCCUGGGCUGACACUGACGCUCAGGCACGAAAGCGUGGGGAGCAAACAGG